AAGCGUAACAAGGUCUCCGUUGGUGAACCAGCGGAGGGAUCAUUACUGAGUUUACGCUCUACAACCCUUUGUGAACAUACCUAUAACUGUUGCUUCGGCGGGCAGGGUCUCCGUGACCCUCCCGGCCUCCCGCCCCCGGGCGGGUCGGCGCCCGCCGGAGGAUAACCAAACUCUGAUUUAACGACGUUUCUUCUGAGUGGUACAAGCAAAUAAUCAAAACUUUUAACAACGGAUCUCUUGGUUCUGGCAUCGAUGAAGAACGCAGCGAAAUGCGAUAAGUAAUGUGAAUUGCAGAAUUCAGUGAAUCAUCGAAUCUUUGAACGCACAUUGCGCCCGCCAGCAUUCUGGCGGGCAUGCCUGUUCGAGCGUCAUUUCAACCCUCAAGCUCUGCUUGGUGUUGGGGCCCUACAGCUGAUGUAGGCCCUCAAAGGUAGUGGCGGACCCUCCCGGAGCCUCCUUUGCGUAGUAACUUUACGUCUCGCACUGGGAUCCGGAGGGACUCUUGCCGUAAAACCCCCAAUUUUCCAAAGGUGACCUCGAUCAGGUAGAUCCGCACG
RNAcentral lists this ribosomal RNA (557 nucleotides) under Colletotrichum sp. BS5. Its description in RNAcentral is "eukaryotic LSU rRNA". The stretch from base 218 to 371 matches the Rfam family "5.8S ribosomal RNA". Lineage: Eukaryota; Fungi; Ascomycota; Sordariomycetes; Glomerellales; Glomerellaceae. The record is from RNAcentral.